RNAcentral lists this ribosomal RNA (116 nucleotides) under Salmonella enterica. Lineage: Bacteria; Pseudomonadati; Pseudomonadota; Gammaproteobacteria; Enterobacterales; Enterobacteriaceae. RNAcentral also lists the same sequence under 6 other names. The record is from RNAcentral.
CCUGGCGGCACUAGCGCGGUGGUCCCACCUGACCCCAUGCCGAACUCAGAAGUGAAACGCCGCAGCGCCGAUGGUAGUGUGGGGUCUCCCCAUGCGAGAGUAGGGAACUGCCAGGC